ACUAGCCUGCACACCACUCUCAAUGUACCAGAUCUCAUUUGAUUUUAUAAGCUAACCAAGACUGGGCCUGGUUAUACCUCGGAUGGGUGACCACCAAGGAACACCAAAAAUACUCCAGGCAUGUC
RNAcentral lists this ribosomal RNA (125 nucleotides) under Pogona vitticeps (central bearded dragon). The record is from RNAcentral. Lineage: Eukaryota; Metazoa; Chordata; Lepidosauria; Squamata; Agamidae.